This 497-nucleotide ribosomal RNA is filed under the name uncultured bacterium. RNAcentral's name for it is "partial 16S ribosomal RNA". It matches the Rfam family "Bacterial small subunit ribosomal RNA", at positions 28 to 507 of the family's 1533-position model. The record is from RNAcentral.
GAUGAACGCUGGCGGCGUGCCUAAUACAUGCAAGUCGAGCGAACGGACGAGAAGCUUGCUUCUCUGAUGUUAGCGGCGGACGGGUGAGUAACACGUGGAUAACCUACCUAUAAGACUGGGAUAACUUCGGGAAACCGGAGCUACUACCGGAUAAUAUUUUGAACCGCAUGGUUCAAAAGAGAAAGACGGUCUUGCUGUCACUUAUAGAUGGAUCCGCGCUGCAUUAGCUAGUUGGUAAGGUAACGGCUUACCAAGGCAACGAUGCAUAGCCGACCUGAGAGGGUGAUCGGCCACACUGGAACUGAGACACGGUCCAGACUCCUACGGGAGGCAGCAGUAGGGAAUCUUCCGCAAUGGGCGAAAGCCUGACGGAGCAACGCCGCGUGAGUGAUGAAGGUCUUCGGAUCGUAAAACUCUGUUAUUAGGGAAGAACAUAUGUGUAAGUAACUGUGCACAUCUUGACGGUACCUAAUCAGAAAGCCACGGCUAACUACGUG